This 490-nucleotide ribosomal RNA is filed under the name uncultured bacterium. RNAcentral's name for it is "partial 16S ribosomal RNA". It matches the Rfam family "Bacterial small subunit ribosomal RNA", at positions 28 to 507 of the family's 1533-position model. The record is from RNAcentral.
GAUGAACGCUAGCUACAGGCUUAACACAUGCAAGUCGCGGGGCAGCAUGGUGGUUGCUUGCCCUCCCUGAUGGCGACCGGCGCACGGGUGAGUAACGCGUAUCCAACCUGCCCUUCACCACGGGAUAACCCGGCGAAAGUCGGACUAAUACCGUAUGUUGUCCCUUGACGGCAUCCGAUUUGGUCGAAAGGCUUAGCGUUGAGGGAUGGGGAUGCGUCCGAUUAGCUUGACGGCGGGGUGACGGCCCACCGUGGCUACGAUCGGUAGGGGUUCUGAGAGGAAGGUCCCCCACACUGGAACUGCGACACGGUCCAGACGCCUACGGGAGGCAGCAGUGAGGAAUAUUGGUCAAUGGGCGUAAGCCUGAACCAGCCAAGUAGCGUGCAGGAUGACGGCCCUAUGGGUUGUAAACUGCUUUUAUGCGGGGAUAAAGGGACCAACGUGUGGGUUUUUGAAGGUACCGAAUGAAUAAGGACCGGCUAAUUCCGUG